GAAACUUACAGUAAACUUAAUUCACCAAAGUGUGUGGACACCUGAUCAUCAAACCCAUAUCUGCUUGUUGUAGAUCCCAUUGAAGAUUAAGCCCCCCUUUUGUUUUCACUUUUUUUAAACUCACAAAACCUGUUCUUCACAUUCGCAGAUAGCGAAUCAACAGUUCUGAUGCAAUCUCAGGGUGUAGAACAGUUUACUGAGUAUAAAUACUGGGAACAAGCAACAAUAACAAAAGAACGAACACCAAGAUCAUCAUGUGAACUCCAUUAAAUGUCUAAAUAUGGCAUUUCUGAAAAUCUGUAUCGCAGCUUGAAAAAAUAACCUAAUCCUGAAGAAAGAUGGCUUCUAACAGAAGUGUCAUUAAAAACUGUGGAUCAGCAUCAGGAUCAGCCCAGAGGGACUCGAGCCAGUUUAGAGGUGAGUCACAUGACAUACCCAGAGGUGCUAUGCAUUGCCAAGGCCUUGUAAAACAGCAAAAUGCUUUAAUUUGCUUUUUACCAAGCCAGCCCUACAAGAAAUAGCAAGAUAAACCAAUCAAACCCGACUGGUAAAACGGACAUGGCAGAAAGUCAAAAUCAAAUACAAGAACAUUCUGCAGAAUGCAGUGAAAAAGAAUACCCACAGACAAGGCACAGGUGGUGGGUCACCAAAAGCUGACCUCACCCCAGCAGAGGACAUAGCUUUGGAGCUAAAUAAAGGCAGGCCUGUGUUGGAGGGGAUCCCUGGGGGGAAAAGACAAGCAUAGGUCCCUCCCAAGAUGCCACCUGCUUCAUACAAGUGUCUGGCAGCACUGUGUUACUGUUAGAGCCACAAGCACCAGAUGAUGCUGAUCCAGUGAGUACUCCAUCAAAGGCAUACUGUAGGCCUGGUAUGUCUUGUCAACUAGCUUCAAUAUGAAUCCGAUUAAAUGUGAUAGGUGCAGCAGCAACAGCAC
Tachysurus fulvidraco (yellow catfish) is the source of this 934-nucleotide long non-coding RNA. RefSeq lists it as uncharacterized. Lineage: Eukaryota; Metazoa; Chordata; Actinopteri; Siluriformes; Bagridae. The transcript has 5 exons. The record is from RefSeq and is a predicted model, not a curated record.